This 78-nucleotide transfer RNA is filed under the name Gammaproteobacteria bacterium. RNAcentral's name for it is "tRNA-Val". It matches the Rfam family "tRNA". Rfam says of the family: Transfer RNA (tRNA) molecules are approximately 80 nucleotides in length. Lineage: Bacteria; Pseudomonadati; Pseudomonadota; Gammaproteobacteria. The record is from RNAcentral. RNAcentral also lists the same sequence under 1 other name.
AGACGCGUAGCUCAGCUUGGUUAGAGCACCACCUUGACAUGGUGGGGGUCGUUGGUUCGAGUCCAAUCGCGUCUACCA